This is a long non-coding RNA of Rhipicephalus microplus (southern cattle tick), 772 nucleotides long. RefSeq lists it as uncharacterized. NCBI's taxonomy places the organism in Eukaryota, Metazoa, Arthropoda, Arachnida, Ixodida, Ixodidae. The record is from RefSeq and is a predicted model, not a curated record.
GACCAGCAAGAGAUGAUGCUACUCGACAUAAUGCUGCAAUGACUGGACAAGCAUGCAAGUGUGGCAUUCUGUGUAAAAGGAAGGUGCUGAAGGUGAAGAACUAACUCUUAUAACGCUGUGUGUAGCUUAUAAGAACAUCUGUUUGAAAUGUUUGGCCAGACACGGAGAGAAAACUGUUGAAAAUGAGUGGGCUACUCGUUAAGGCUUUCGUUCCCUGCCAAUGCUACUUGGCUGCGUUGGCACACAAAACUGGAAGUCGUCCGGGACCUGUGUUUUUAUAAACAGCAAAAAGGUCUGUAGGGGAGAAUACAUGAACAUGCACAGAAGAAAAUAAACAAAACUAACACCGGCUCAUAAGACGAAAAAUAAUAUAAGUUAUGUUAAAAACAUAUCUAAAAGCAUGAAAUCAAUACAUCUUUGGAGCAGAAACAUGAAAUAUAACUCAAACGUGAAGUCUAGACAAUAUGGUGUUACGAGCAUGCUGCGACCCAUCACUGUAAAGGCUCCCACAGGCUGUACCCGGAGCCUGACUACCUGAAAAGUGCUACACGACCCACCUUCAGAUGCUGAGUGCGUCUGUCAGAGACACUGAGUGCAUCUGCCACGGACACUGGGCACGUCCCUCAGAGAUGCUGGAUGUGUCUUAACCGUGGAGCUGCACCUUCCUCCUCGAGCGUCUCGGCGCCUAUAAAAGGCCAGCGCAUCUAGCACCAAAGUGCUUUCUCAUCCACGUUUUCUACAUUCGUUGUAAAUUAAAUGUUUUGUCUCCUGG